UACAGAGGGUGCGAGCGUUGUCCGGAAUCACUGGGCGUAAAGAGCGUGUAGGCGGUCCUGUAAGUCCGCUGUGAAAGUCAAGGGCUCAACCCUUGAAUGCCGGUGGAUACUGCAGGACUAGAGUCCGGAAGAGGCGAGUGGAAUUCCUGGUGUAGCGGUGAAAUGCGCAGAUAUCAGGAGGAACACCGAUGGCGGAGGCAGCUCGCUGGGACGGUACUGACGCUGAGACGCGAAAGCGUGGGGAGCAAACAGG
RNAcentral lists this ribosomal RNA (253 nucleotides) under uncultured bacterium. RNAcentral describes it as "partial 16S ribosomal RNA". It matches the Rfam family "Bacterial small subunit ribosomal RNA", at positions 524 to 776 of the family's 1533-position model. The record is from RNAcentral.